AGAGCGAACGCUGGCGGCAGGCCUAAUACAUGCAAGUCGAACGCACCUUCGGGUGAGUGGCGGACGGGUGAGUAACACGUGGGAACGUGCCCUUUGGUUCGGAAUAAUCCGGGGAAACCUGGCCUAAUACCGGAUGAGCCCUUCGGGGGAAAGAUUUAUCGCCAUUGGAGCGGCCCGCGUCUGAUUAGCUAGUUGGUGGGGUAAAGGCCCACCAAGGCUACGAUCAGUAGCUGGUCUGAGAGGAUGAUCAGCCACACUGGGACUGAGACACGGCCCAGACUCCUACGGGAGGCAGCAGUAGGGAAUCUUGCGCAAUGGGGGAAACCCUGACGCAGCCAUGCCGCGUGAAUGAUGAAGGUCUUAGGAUUGUAAAUUCUUUCAGGCGGGAAGAUAAUGACUGUACCCGCAGAAGAGCUCCGGCUAACUUCGCGCCAGCAGCCGC
Molecule: ribosomal RNA, 442 nt
Filed under: uncultured bacterium
Lineage: Bacteria
Description: SSU rRNA
Rfam family: Bacterial small subunit ribosomal RNA
Source: RNAcentral